GACCUUGUGCCGCAACGGUAGCGUGCCUGACUCCAGGUCAGAAAGUUGUGUGUUUGAAUCACGUUGAGGUCA
This 72-nucleotide transfer RNA is filed under the name Lepisosteus oculatus (spotted gar). It matches the Rfam family "tRNA". Rfam says of the family: Transfer RNA (tRNA) molecules are approximately 80 nucleotides in length. Their secondary structure includes four short double-helical elements and three loops (D, anti-codon, and T loops). Further hydrogen bonds mediate the characteristic L-shaped molecular structure. tRNAs have two regions of fundamental functional importance: the anti-codon, which is responsible for specific mRNA codon recognition, and the 3' end, to which the tRNAs corresponding amino acid is attached (by aminoacyl-tRNA synthetases). tRNAs cope with the degeneracy of the genetic code in two manners: having more than one tRNA (with a specific anti-codon) for a particular amino acid; and 'wobble' base-pairing, i.e. permitting non-standard base-pairing at the 3rd anti-codon position. The record is from Rfam by way of RNAcentral. Lineage: Eukaryota; Metazoa; Chordata; Actinopteri; Semionotiformes; Lepisosteidae.